GGGUGAGUAACGCGUAGACAACCUGCCGUAAAGAUGGGGACAACAGUUCGAAAGGACUGCUAAUACCGAAUGUUGUAGAGUUUCUGCAUGGGAAUCCUACUAAAGGUGGCCUCUACUUGUAAGCUAUCGCUUUACGAUGGGUCUGCGUCUGAUUAGCUAGUUGGUGGGGUAACGGCCUACCAAGGCGACGAUCAGUAGCCGGUCUGAGAGGAUGAACGGCCACAUUGGAACUGAGACACGGUCCAGACUCCUACGGGAGGCAGCAGUGGGGAAUCUUCCGCAAUGGGCGCAAGCCUGACGGAGCAACGCCGCGUGAGUGAAGAAGGGUUUCGACUCGUAAAGCUCUGUUGUCGGGGACGAAUGUGGAGAUGGUGAAUAACCAUUUUCAAUGACGGUACCUGACGAGGAAGCCACGGCUAACUACGUGCCAGCAGCCGCGGUAAUACGUAGGUGGCGAGCGUUGCCCGGAAUUAUUGGGCGUAAAGGGAGCGCAGGCGGGAAGGUAAGUCUAUCUUAAAAGUGCGGGGCUCAACCCCGUGAGGGGAUGGAAACUAUCUUUCUUGAGUGCAGGAGAGGAAAGCGGAAUUCCUAGUGUAGCGGUGAAAUGCGUAGAUAUUAGGAGGAACACCAGUGGCGAAGGCGGCUUUCUGGACUGUAACUGACGCUGAGGCUCGAAAGCGUGGGGAGCGAACAGGAUUAGAUACCCUGGUAGUCCACGCCGUAAACGAUGAAUGCUAGGUGUAGGAGGUAU
This 751-nucleotide ribosomal RNA is filed under the name uncultured bacterium. RNAcentral's name for it is "bacterial SSU rRNA". It matches the Rfam family "Bacterial small subunit ribosomal RNA", at positions 104 to 832 of the family's 1533-position model. The record is from RNAcentral.